AUAGUUUUAUCCUGUUCAGUACUUCAAAUAAUGUUUCAUAAUGGUUCAUAGCAUAUAAAAAAUGUUUGAUUUGAAUAUAUUUUAAACGGCUUUUGCAAUUCGGCUGUCAGUAAGGUUACGAACUAUAUUAGUAGAAUAUGUAUUUUAUGUUAGAAGCAUCAUAGUGCUAUAUACUCCUGUUACAUUGAAGAAUGUAUAAAUAAAGGCAACAGAAGUAUGUCGCUGUUCAAAACUCAUAAAUCGAUAGAAAAAAAAUAAUCCGGAUUAAAAACUAAAACUGAGGGAAACGCAUUAAAUAUAAGAGGAGAACAACGAAACAACAUUGAAAUGUAACACACACAGAAACGAAGUUAG
RNAcentral lists this long non-coding RNA (354 nucleotides) under Mytilus galloprovincialis (Mediterranean mussel). The record is from RNAcentral. Lineage: Eukaryota; Metazoa; Mollusca; Bivalvia; Mytilida; Mytilidae.